This 440-nucleotide ribosomal RNA is filed under the name uncultured bacterium. RNAcentral's name for it is "partial 16S ribosomal RNA". It matches the Rfam family "Bacterial small subunit ribosomal RNA", at positions 338 to 795 of the family's 1533-position model. The record is from RNAcentral.
CCUACGGGUGGCAGCAGUGGGGAAUAUUGCACAAUGGGCGAAAGCCUGAUGCAGCAACGCCGCGUGAAGGAAGAAGGAUUUCUGCUCUUAAACUUUUAUUUAUAGGGGCGUAAAGAUUUACGGUACUUGAAUAAGCCACGUUUAACUACGUGCCAGCUGCCGCGACACUGAGUAGGUAGCAAGGGUUAUCCGGAUUUACUGCGUGUAAAGGGCGUGUAGGCGGUACUGCAAGUCAGAUGUGAAAAUUAUGGGCUCAACCAAUAACCUGCAGUUGAAACUGUAGUUCUUGAGUGUGGGUGAGGCAGGCGGAAUGCGGGGUGUAGCGGUGAAAUGCGUAGAUAUACGGAGGAACACCAGUGGCGAAGGCGGCCUGCUGGACAUUAACUGACGCUGAAGCGCGAAAGCGUGGGGAGCGAACAGGAUUAGAUACCCUGGUAGUC